RNAcentral lists this ribosomal RNA (899 nucleotides) under uncultured Chloroflexota bacterium. RNAcentral's name for it is "bacterial SSU rRNA". It matches the Rfam family "Bacterial small subunit ribosomal RNA", at positions 8 to 916 of the family's 1533-position model. The record is from RNAcentral. Lineage: Bacteria; Bacillati; Chloroflexota.
AGAGUUUGAUCCUGGCUCAGGAUGAACGCUGGCGGCGUGCCUAAUACAUGCAAGUCGAACGGGAGCACUUGGCAACGAGUGGGAGAGUGGCGAACGGGUGAGUAACACAUGGCUGACCUGCCCCUCAGAGGGGGACAACGGCUGGAAACGGCUGCUAAUACCCCGUGAGCUGGCCGAGGUUAGAGGCUUGGUCAGGGAAGGGCGCGGAAGCGUCUGCUGAGGGAGGGGGCGGUGGCCCAUCAGCUAGUUGGCAGGGUAAUGGCCUACCAAGGCAAGGACGGGUAGGGGGCCUGAGAGGGUGGUCCCCCACACUGGCACUGAGAGACGGGCCAGACUCCUACGGGAGGCAGCAGUAAGGGAUAUUGCGACAAUGGGCGCAAGCCUGACGCAGCAACGCCGCGUGCGGGAGGACAGCCUUCGGGUUGUAAACCGCUUUUCUGCGUGAAGAGGCAGGACGGUAACGCAGGAAGAAGUCUCGGCUAACUACGUGCCAGCAGCCGCGGUAAAACGUAGGAGGCGAGCGUUAUCCGGAUUUACUGGGUGUAAAGCGCGUGCAGGCGGUGCGGUAAGUGGUGUGUGAAAGCGCCCUGGCUCAACCGGGCGAGGACGGACGAAACUGCCGCACUGGAGGCGGGUAGAGGCGUGUGGAAUUCCGGGUGUAGUGGUGAAAUGCGUAGAGAUCCGGAGGAACACCAGUGGCGAAGGCGGCACGCUGGGCCCGGCCUGACGCUCAGACGCGAAAGCAUGGGGAGCGAACGGGAUUAGAAACCCCGGUAGUCCAUGCUGUAAACGAUGCCGACUAGGUGUGGGAGCUGCGAGGCUGCCGUGCCGAAGCUAACGGGUUAAGUCGGCCACCUGGGGACUACGGCCGCAAGGUUAAAACUCAAAGGAAUUGACGG